AAUAAAUAAUAAAAAUUUCUCGGAAAAGCAUCACUUUUACAUUGCUUCUUUUUAAACAAGAUGAUGGUGGAAUUGGUUCGAUGGAAGCUUGCUACGCUUUUAUUUCGAAUAUCCAAGUCCGAUUCGAAGGUCUUAAACUUCCAGGAUUUUUACAUGAGUGAUCCUGCAAGAUUCGUUAAAUUGUAUUUGAUUGUUAACCCAACAGCUAUAUGGGGGAUGACGAUAGACAAUAGAAUGUCCCGCCGGUUUACAACACAUAAUUUGAAAAGCCUUGAUAUUAAAAUGAAAAAAUAAUACUUUGUGUUAUUCUCUCGAAGAAUAUAAUUCAUAAUACAGAUUCAGCGGUACCUCGACUUAUUAACCGCUAUAUAUACGAAUUUUUUUCACACCAAAUUUUGGCCUCUAGAUAUGAAUCGUG
This 418-nucleotide long non-coding RNA is filed under the name Androctonus crassicauda. The record is from RNAcentral. Lineage: Eukaryota; Metazoa; Arthropoda; Arachnida; Scorpiones; Buthidae.